This 85-nucleotide transfer RNA is filed under the name Felis catus (domestic cat). It matches the Rfam family "tRNA". Rfam says of the family: Transfer RNA (tRNA) molecules are approximately 80 nucleotides in length. The record is from Rfam by way of RNAcentral. Lineage: Eukaryota; Metazoa; Chordata; Mammalia; Carnivora; Felidae.
UCCUGGGUGGCUCAGUCGGUUGAGCAUCCGACUUCGGCUCAGGUCACGAUCUCAAGAUUUGUGGGUUCAAGCCCCACGUCGGGAU